GACGAACGCUGGCGGCGUGCCUAACACAUGCAAGUCGAGCGAGUGAAUCUCCUUCGGGAGUGAAGCUAGCGGCGGACGGGUGAGUAACACGUGGGCAACCUGCCUCAUAGAGGGGAAUAGCCUUUCGAAAGGAAGAUUAAUACCGCAUAAGAUUGUAGCUUCGCAUGAAGUAGCAAUUUAAGGAGCAAUCCGCUAUGAGAUGGGCCCGCGGCGCAUUAGCUAGUUGGUGAGGUAACGGCUCACCAAGGCGACGAUGCGUAGCCGACCUGAGAGGGUGAUCGGCCACAUUGGGACUGAGACACGGCCCAGACUCCUACGGGAGGCAGCAGUGGGGAAUAUUGCACAAUGGGGGAAACCCUGAUGCAGGAACGCCGCGUGAGUGAUGACGGCCUUCGGGUUGUAAAGCUCUGUCUUCAGGGACGAUAAUGACGGUACCUGAGGAGGAAGCCACGGCUAACUACGUGCCAGCCGCCGCCGUAA
RNAcentral lists this ribosomal RNA (480 nucleotides) under uncultured bacterium. Its description in RNAcentral is "partial 16S ribosomal RNA". It matches the Rfam family "Bacterial small subunit ribosomal RNA", at positions 28 to 523 of the family's 1533-position model. The record is from RNAcentral.